AUUGAACGCUGGCGGCAUGCCUUACACAUGCAAGUCGAACGGCAGCGGGCCUUCGGGUGCCGGCGAGUGGCGAACGGGUGAGUAAUGCAUCGGAACGUGCCAUUGAGUGGGGGGAUAACGUAGCGAAAGUUACGCUAAUACCGCAUAUUCUGUGAGCAGGAAAGCAGGGGGACCGCAAGGCCUUGCGCUCUUUGAGCGGCCGAUGUCAGAUUAGCUAGUUGGUGAGGUAAAAGGCUUACCAAGGCGACGAUCUGUAGCGGGUCUGAGAGGAUGAUCCGCCACACUGGAACUGAGACACGGUCCAGACUCCUACGGGAGGCAGCAGUGGGGAAUUUUGGACAAUGGGCGCAAGCCUGAUCCAGCCAUGCCGCGUGAGUGAAGAAGGCC
This 387-nucleotide ribosomal RNA is filed under the name uncultured bacterium. RNAcentral describes it as "bacterial SSU rRNA". It matches the Rfam family "Bacterial small subunit ribosomal RNA", at positions 30 to 416 of the family's 1533-position model. The record is from RNAcentral.